Molecule: ribosomal RNA, 490 nt
Filed under: uncultured bacterium
Lineage: Bacteria
Description: partial 16S ribosomal RNA
Rfam family: Bacterial small subunit ribosomal RNA
Source: RNAcentral
AUUGAACGCUGGCGGCAGGCCUAACACAUGCAAGUCGAACGGUAACAGGAAGAAGCUUGCUUCUUUGCUGACGAGUGGCGGACGGGUGAGUAAUGUCUGGGAAACUGCCUGAUGGAGGGGGAUAACUACUGGAAACGGUAGCUAAUACCGCAUAACGUCGCAAGACCAAAGAGGGGGACCUUCGGGCCUCUUGCCAUCGGAUGUGCCCAGAUGGGAUUAGCUAGUAGGUGGGGUAACGGCUCACCUAGGCGACGAUCCCUAGCUGGUCUGAGAGGAUGACCAGCCACACUGGAACUGAGACACGGUCCAGACUCCUACGGGAGGUAGCAGUGGGGAAUAUUGCACAAUGGGCGCAAGCCUGAUGCAGCCAUGCCGCGUGUAUGAAGAAGGCCUUCGGGUUGUAAAGUACUUUCAGCGGGGAGGAAGGGAGUAAAGUUAAUACCUUUGCCCAUUGACGUUACCCGCAGAAGAAGCACCGGCUAACUCCGUG